RNAcentral lists this ribosomal RNA (439 nucleotides) under uncultured bacterium. RNAcentral describes it as "partial 16S ribosomal RNA". It matches the Rfam family "Bacterial small subunit ribosomal RNA", at positions 339 to 795 of the family's 1533-position model. The record is from RNAcentral.
CUACGGGUCGCUCCAGUGGGGAAUAUUGCACAAUGGAGGAAACUCUGAUGCAGCAACGCCGCAUGGAGGAUGACACUUUUCGGAGCGUAAACUCCUUUUAUAUAGGAAGAAGAUGACGGUACUAUAUGAAUAAGCGCCGGCUAACUCCGUGCCAGCAGCCGCGGUAAUACGGAGGGCGCAAGCGUUACUCGGAAUCACUGGGCGUAAAGAGCGUGUAGGCGGAUUAAAAAGUCAGAAGUGAAAUCCUAUAGCUUAACUGUAGAACUGCUUCUGAAACUCUUAAUCUAGAAUAUGGGAGAGGUAGAUGGAAUUUCUGGUGUAGGGGUAAAAUCCGUAGAGAUCAGAAGGAAUACCGAUUGCGAAGGCGAUCUACUAGAACAUUAUUGACGCUGAGACGCGAAAGCGUGGGGAGCAAACAGGAUUAGAUUCCCUAGUAGUC